Melitaea cinxia (Glanville fritillary) is the source of this 347-nucleotide long non-coding RNA. RefSeq lists it as uncharacterized. Lineage: Eukaryota; Metazoa; Arthropoda; Insecta; Lepidoptera; Nymphalidae. The record is from RefSeq and is a predicted model, not a curated record. The transcript has 2 exons.
UAAGUAAUAUUGCACAUCACUACUCAACGAGUAAUUUUAUAUAUUCCCAAUCCCGAUUUACAUUCAGGAGAUCAUUAUUACCCAGACGUUAGCGGGACUCGCGCGGGAUCGGCCGUUCUUAUAAAUAGACGCGGAUUUAUAAUAUAAUAUUUGCGGAAUAGUGGAGUUACAAAAAUAAUUUGAUUAUUGUGUGUAUGUCAGUGGACAAUGAUUUUGAUUGGGUUCAAAAAGGACGUUCAAUUCGAAAUAUUUUGAGCCACAGAUACUCUAUUACUUCUUUUCAAUCUAUUUCACUUUUGAUUUUUCGAAUCAUGGUUAAGACUAACAAUGUGAAAAAGUUUUGUGUA